This 277-nucleotide ribosomal RNA is filed under the name uncultured Eubacteriales bacterium. RNAcentral's name for it is "uncultured Clostridiales bacterium partial 16S ribosomal RNA". It matches the Rfam family "Bacterial small subunit ribosomal RNA", at positions 66 to 339 of the family's 1533-position model. Lineage: Bacteria; Bacillati; Bacillota; Clostridia; Eubacteriales. The record is from RNAcentral.
AUUUGAUUCUUCGGAUGAAGAUCUUGGUGACUGAGUGGCGGACGGGUGAGUAACGCGUGGGUAACCUGCCUCAUACAGGGGGAUAACAGUUAGAAACGACUGCUAAUACCGCAUAAGCGCACAGCUUCGCAUGGAACAGUGUGAAAAACUCCGGUGGUGUGAGAUGGACCCGCGUCUGAUUAGCCAGUUGGCGGGGUAACGGCCCACCAAGGCGACGAUCAGUAGGGGUUCUGAGAGGAAGGUCCCCACAUUGGAACUGAGACACGGUCCAAACUCC